AUUGAACGCUGGCGGCGUGCUUAACACAUGCAAGUCGAGCGGCAGCGCGGGAGCAAUCCUGGCGGCGAGCGGCGAACGGGUGAGUAAUGCUUCGGAAUCUGCCCUUCAGUGGGGAAUAACCAGUCGAAAGACUGGCUAAUACCGCAUACGAACUGAGGUUGAAAGCAGGGGAUCGCAAGACCUUGCGCUGAUGGAUGAGCCGAAGUCGGAUUAGCUUGUUGGUGGGGUAAUGGCCUACCAAGGCGACGAUCCGUAGCUGGUCUGAGAGGACGACCAGCCACACUGGGACUGAGACACGGCCCAGACUCCUACGGGAGGCAGCAGUGGGGAAUAUUGGACAAUGGGGGCAACCCUGAUCCAGCGACGCCGCGUGUGUGAAGAAGGCCUGCGGGUUGUAAAGCACUUUUAGUGGGGAGGAAGGUCUGCGACCUAACACGUCGUGGAAUUGACUUAACCCACAGAAAAAGCACCGGCUAAACUCUGUGCCAGCA
RNAcentral lists this ribosomal RNA (491 nucleotides) under uncultured bacterium. Its description in RNAcentral is "bacterial SSU rRNA". It matches the Rfam family "Bacterial small subunit ribosomal RNA", at positions 29 to 513 of the family's 1533-position model. The record is from RNAcentral.